CCUACGGGCGGCAGCAGUAGGGAAUAUUGCACAAUGGGGGAAACCCUGAAGCAGCAACGCCGCGUGGAGGAUGAAGGUUUUCGGAUUGUAAACUCCUUUUGUUAGAGAAGAUAAUGACGGUAUCUAACGAAUAAGCACCGGCUAACUCCGUGCCAGCAGCCGCGGUAAUACGGAGGGUGCAAGCGUUACUCGGAAUCACUGGGCGUAAAGGGCGCGUAGGCGGGAUAGCAAGUCAGAUGUGAAAUCCUAUGGCUUAACCAUAGAAAUGCAUUUGAAACUGGUAGUCUAGAGUAUGGGAGAGGUAAGUGGAAUUCGUGGUGUAGGGGUGAAAGCCGUAGAGAUCAGGAGGAAUACCCAGUGCGAAGGCGACCUGCUGGAACAUAACUGACGCUGAGGCGCGAAAGCGUGGGGAGCAAACAGGAUUAGAUACCCCAGUAGUC
Molecule: ribosomal RNA, 440 nt
Filed under: uncultured bacterium
Lineage: Bacteria
Description: partial 16S ribosomal RNA
Rfam family: Bacterial small subunit ribosomal RNA
Source: RNAcentral